GCACCAAGGAGGAGCCCAGACCAGGACCACUCUCCCCACGUGGCUGAGGGGACCCGUGUCCAAGAUCAUCAGCACCAAGGAGGAGCCCAGACCAGGACCACUCUCCCCACGUGGCUGAGGGGACCCGUGUCCAAGAUGGUCAGCACCGAGGACAAGCCCAUAGCAGCACUGCCGUCCCCACCGGGCUGUACGGAGAUGGACAGAAUUGGCCCAGACCCGUGGCCUGGGAGCAGCACCCAGUAAACGCACGGCAUCUAGAAAGGGGAGGGAGGGCGCUGCUGUUCUGGGGCAUUUUCUCCGUUUCCCCCAGGGCUGCCCCGGUUCCACGGCCGUGCUUGGCUCGCCGCAGGCGGGUUGGUGCGGCGACCUGCACCGGCUGCAGCUGCGCCGGAGGCUGGCGGAGCCGCACGCUUGGGUCACCGAUGCCGUCGGAGCUGGGGAGAAUCACAAGGAAAACAGCUAGAAUGGUUCUGAAAUCUCUGAUGGAAGCAGCCUGAGAAAGGCUAUUGCGGUUCCUGCACAUUUCCUGAAAAAGAGAGGUUUACUGCAUUUUCCUGCUCUCGUGACUGUGUUUCCAGGUUGCUGCUAACCCCAGGCACGCUGCGGUGGGAAGCUGCUGGCGCAGUGAGAAAUCCACCACUGUUCAGCAUUCCUGAAACACACCUUCGUUAUUAGGGCAGGUUUUGUAUGUGAUUAAUGAAUUUUGUUCACUAUUCAUCAUCAGUAAAUCUAUGUGCUGGAAGGGAACCUGUAAACUGAGGAGAAACUCCUUGCUGGAGGCAUCACUGUGAAGUUAGCAAGCAGGUAUCUGUAUGCGACGUGAGCUGCACAAAAAGGCACGCAUCUCUCUGCGGCCGCUGGAAGUUGCACCCGGCUUUCUUCCCUAUCAUCCUUUGACAGUUCUGAGGCCAAAACAGGACUGGUCUUUCCAGGACGCUUACUAGCAUUUUCAGGCAAAACUGGGCUUUUCUGUGGAUAUUUGCUCACGAGCAGAACAGCUGCCAUUAAAAAAAGGUAUAUUUCCUACCUACUGCUUCCUAGUUGUGUAUUCUAAAACGAGGGGGGAAUUUUGAAAUUA
Molecule: long non-coding RNA, 1078 nt
Filed under: Dromaius novaehollandiae (emu)
Lineage: Eukaryota; Metazoa; Chordata; Aves; Casuariiformes; Dromaiidae
Description: lncRNA (ENSDNVG00000006041.1)
Source: RNAcentral